Molecule: ribosomal RNA, 490 nt
Filed under: uncultured bacterium
Lineage: Bacteria
Description: partial 16S ribosomal RNA
Rfam family: Bacterial small subunit ribosomal RNA
Source: RNAcentral
AUUGAACGCUGGCGGCAGGCCUAACACAUGCAAGUCGAACGGUAACAGGAAGAAGCUUGCUUCUUUGCUGACGAGUGGCGGACGGGUGAGUAAUGUCUGGGAAACUGCCUGAUGGAGGGGGAUAACUACUGGAAACGGUAGCUAAUACCGCAUAACGUCGCAAGACCAAAAAGGGGGACCUUCGGGCCUCUUGCCAUCGGAUGUGCCCAGAUGGGAUUCGCUAGUAGGUGGGGUAACGGCUCACCUAGGCGACGAUCCCUAGCUGGUCUGAGAGGAUGACCAGCCACACUGGAACUGAGACACGGUCCAGACUCCUACGGGAGGCAGCAGUGGGGAAUAUUGCACAAUGGGCGCAAGCCUGAUGCAGCCAUGCCGCGUGUAUGAAGAAGGCCUUCGGGUUGUAAAGUACUUUCAGCGGGGAGGAAGGGAGUAAAGUUAAUACCUUUGCUCAUUGACGUUACCCGCAGAAGAAGCACCGGCUAACUCCGUG